AAGUCGUAACAAGGUUUCCGUAGGUGAACCUGCGGAAGGAUCAUUAAAAAAAGGGUCGCAAGACCCGUUUUUAAAACCUACCACCACCUAUCAUUUAUGGGUGAGAUGGAGGAGGUAGGGCUUUUUAAAAUCCAAUUCUUAUAAAAUCGUCUAAUGACGAACCAAAAAAAAUUAUCAAAACUUUCAACAAUGGAUCUCUUGGCUCUC
Molecule: unclassified non-coding RNA, 207 nt
Filed under: fungal sp.
Lineage: Eukaryota; Fungi
Description: partial internal transcribed spacer region
Rfam family: Eukaryotic small subunit ribosomal RNA (bases 1-46)
Source: RNAcentral